This 256-nucleotide long non-coding RNA is filed under the name Trifolium pratense (red clover). RNAcentral describes it as "long non-coding RNA (TPRA_LNC004922)". Lineage: Eukaryota; Viridiplantae; Streptophyta; Magnoliopsida; Fabales; Fabaceae. The record is from RNAcentral.
CUGUCACGAAUAUCGAGGCCUAACUCAUCCUUACAAAACCGGCUUGUAAGGUGAGGAUUGCCUCCUCUUUAUAAACUCUUCUCAAGAGUCCUAUCUAUCCGAUGUGGGACUAAAUCCCACCGAGUGUUGGCUGCUAACAAGUACACCUAUCAUGCUAUCAGUUUCGUCGGUUUCUUUCACUGCUUCCCUUGCAUCUUGAUUGGCUACAGACAUUAUAGUUCUGCUGUUCUAGAUUCAAACACUCCAAUUUACUAUU